Molecule: long non-coding RNA, 1344 nt
Organism: Herpailurus yagouaroundi (jaguarundi)
Lineage: Eukaryota; Metazoa; Chordata; Mammalia; Carnivora; Felidae
Exons: 3
Source: RefSeq, a predicted model, not a curated record
AGUAGUUAUCAUAAAAAGAAAACAAUUUCAUAGUUGCACCUCAACGAGUCGGGACACAUCACUAAACCGGUCUGACAUGUGUCAUCUCAGUGAACGUGCACAUCGACCCUGACAAGCUAAUACAAUAAUGCUCAUUUGACAGACGAGGCAGCUGAAGGUCUGAGGGCGAAGCAGCUCCUUCCACAGACGGGGCUGAUGGUGGAGCCAGGGACUCUCUCUGACCAUGGAAUCCUGCCCUUCUCUUUGCCCUUUGACCCGGUUCUCAGCCCCUGCUGGAUCUAGCAGUCUUCCGGAUGCUCUGGGGUGACUUCACCGGGCUGCCUUUGGCACGAACCCUGCUGUGUGGUGCUGUCUUUAGAACUUACCAGACUGUUUUCUGUGUUGAUUUGCCCAUCAACCUGAUCACAUGAGGCUCAGUCUUUCUGAGGUCUCAAGAAAUGUGUGAAUUACGAGCCCUGAGCCACCGUGGAUGAAGUCCAGGCUACUCCAGUGAGAGAGCACUGAGACGCCACCUUGGACGUCCCAUCCAAGUCAAGGUAGCAUGGGCCCUGGUUUCCAUCAGUCUGCAACUGGAUGAGAGACCCCAAGUGAGAACCGCUCAGCUGAGCCUCGUCAACCCACAGAACUAAGACACCAUGCCGUUGGCUUUGAGGACGGAGGGUGUGCCGUGAGCCAAGCUGGUCUGUAGAGGCUGGAAAAGGCAAGGGAACGGAUUCCCCCCGAGAGCCUCUAGAAGGAAUGCAGAUCUGCCAACACCUGGACUUGAGCUCCUUAAGACCCAUUUUUUGGACUUCCGACAUCCAGAAGUAUAAGAUCAUAACUCUGUUGUUUUAAGCCACUAAAUCUGUGCUAAUCUGUUACAGCAGCCACAGGAAGCUACCAUAUCGCGCCCUGAGCAUCUUACACAACAGAAUCUUUCGGAAUUCUCCCAACAACCCUAUGAGGCAGGUCUUACUACCAUUUUAGAAUUGAGGAAGCUGGUACUCAGCGGGGUGAAGGGACUUCCUCAGGCCACACAGCUAUUAAAUGGCAGAGCCAGGGACAUAUGCUGACCUUGCCAUUUAUGGUUAUGCUCACAAAUACCAUGAGUCUACGAUUUAUAUUUCUUUUAGUUGUUCCAGUGCCAACACUGAGAAAGUCCCCAUGAGCCAUAAUACGAAAACUGCAGUUUUGAAAUUGCAAGGGUCAUUGACUCAUUCGUCUUUAUUGUUAUCAGCACCGAAGUAUCUCAUUUGAAAAGAUGAACUUCGGGGCACCUGGGUGGCUCAGUCGCUUGGGCAUCUGACUUCGGCUCAGGUCAUGAUCUAGCGGUUUGUGGAUUCGUGCCCCACAUCGGAUUCUGUG